GCAUAUCAAUAAGCGGAGGAAAAAGAAACCAACAGGGAUUGCCCUAGUAACGGCGAGUGAAGCGGCAACAGCUCAAAUUUGAAAUCUGGCUUCGGCCCGAGUUGUAAUUUGCAGAGGAUGUUUCUGGCGCGGUGCCUUCCGAGUUCCCUGGAACGGGACGCCAUAGAGGGUGAGAGCCCCGUAUGGUUGGAUACUAAGCCUGUGUGAAACUCCUUCGACGAGUCGAGUAGUUUGGGAAUGCUGCUCAAAAUGGGAGGUAAAUCUCUUCUAAAGCUAAAUAUUGGCCAGAGACCGAUAGCGCACAAGUAGAGUGAUCGAAAGAUGAAAAGCACCUUGAAAAGGGGGUUAAACAGUACGUGAAAUUGUUGAAAGGGAAGCGCUCAUGACCAGACUUGUGCUGGGCAGCUCAUCCGGGGUUCUCCCCGGUGCACUCUGCCCAGUUCAGGCCAGCAUCGAUUUUUGCUGGGGGAUAAGAACGGUAGGAACGUGGCCCUCCUUCGGGUGGGUGUUAUAGCCUGCCGUACGAUACCCUGGCGGAGAUCGAGGUUCGCGCAUCUGCAAGGAUGCUGGCGUAAUGGUCAUCAGCGACCCGUCUUGAAACACGGACCAAGGAGUCGUCCAUUAGAGCGAGCGUUUGGGUGUAAAACCCGCACGCGUAAUGAAAGUGAAAUUAGGUGAGAGCUUCGGCGCAUCAUCGACCGAUCCUGAUGUUCUCGGAAGGAUUUGAGUAAGAGUUUUAACGGACGGACCCGAAAGACAGUGAACUAUGCUUGUAUAGGGUGAAGCCAGAGGAAACUCUGGUGGAGGCUCGCAGCGGUUCUGACGUGCAAAUCGAUCGUCAAAUAUGAGCAUGGGGGCGAAAGACUAAUCGAACUGUCUAGUAGCUGGGUUACCGCCG
This 898-nucleotide ribosomal RNA is filed under the name Coniella quercicola. RNAcentral describes it as "LSU rRNA". It matches the Rfam family "Eukaryotic large subunit ribosomal RNA", at positions 38 to 963 of the family's 3401-position model. Lineage: Eukaryota; Fungi; Ascomycota; Sordariomycetes; Diaporthales; Schizoparmaceae. The record is from RNAcentral.